Oreochromis aureus is the source of this 785-nucleotide long non-coding RNA. Lineage: Eukaryota; Metazoa; Chordata; Actinopteri; Cichliformes; Cichlidae. The record is from Ensembl.
GGAGAGUUGCAGAGAUUUGAUUUGAUUUUUUGAUUUUUUUUCUUGUUACCCGAAAAUAUUUGGUCGCACCGGUGCAACCAAAUUUUUUUAUUUUAUUUUUUUUUUUAGUCGCACCACUGAAAAAUUUGGUCGCAUUUGCGAACAAAUUGAUCGCACUCUAGAGCCCUGCGUUUGUGUUAAUGUUCCAUCUCUGCCAAAAAGGUGGGGGAUUUUGGUGUGUUUACUGCUUGCAUCGACACAAAGGAAAAUAACAGUCUCAGAUUGCAGUGCUACUAUCAAGACUGUUCACACCCUCCCUAUAAACCCUUCAGCUGUAAAUUCAAGACAUCGAAUGGAGGUAUACUAGCUACAAUGAAAAACGUGAUGUGCAAGAAUUACACUGUCCCAUUAACAGAACACAGUCCUGGCGAGUUGCAAGAGACUGGUAAUGUGACAAACUUCACAUGCACACUGACAAGAAACAAGAGGACUGAAACGAAGAACAUCACCAUAGACUACAAGACACAAAAAGAAAAACAACGAAUCCCAAAGUGCUGUGCUGCAAGCCCAACCUCCCUGUGGCCUGUGGUGCUCCUCACUCUGUGGAGAGUGGUUGACUCCUGAUGAAGGAAGCAUGAAGGACUGUCUCUGACCGCUUUGACUAACACAGAUGUAUCUGUUCCAUUUAGCCAUUUUAAAAUUUAAGAAACUUUCUAAAAUACAUUUCUAUGCAGGCUUCCAUUACUUGCUUGAUCCCCAAGUACAUGCAGUAAUGCAGUAUGUUAACAUAUAAACUGAAUUCCAAC